Molecule: unclassified non-coding RNA, 79 nt
Filed under: Chryseobacterium piscicola
Lineage: Bacteria; Pseudomonadati; Bacteroidota; Flavobacteriia; Flavobacteriales; Weeksellaceae
Description: Flavo-1 RNA
Source: RNAcentral
UUGCAGCCCGGCUUGAGUGGAGCUCUUUUUGCUGAAACGAAGUGGAAGCAAAAAAGCGGGAACGGAAGACGGAUACAGC